RNAcentral lists this ribosomal RNA (2697 nucleotides) under Brassica rapa (field mustard). RNAcentral describes it as "eukaryotic LSU rRNA". The stretch from base 957 to 2688 matches the Rfam family "Eukaryotic large subunit ribosomal RNA". The record is from RNAcentral. Lineage: Eukaryota; Viridiplantae; Streptophyta; Magnoliopsida; Brassicales; Brassicaceae.
UUGAUUUUCCCCUUAUGUUUCCUUGUUUAGAUUGAUUGUAUUGAACCUCAGUUGAAUUGAAUUGAAUUUAGAAAGAUAAGACUUAAAACUUGGUUCACUCGGACUUAGAUUGAAAGGUUAAGGCCGCAGAUCAGUUUGGGCUUAAGAGCCGGGAUCGGGUCUUACAAGUCAGUAUCAGAGCAUGCUUGAUUCUAGGAUUGGUUUGGGUUAUGUGUUCACCACACGUCCGGCUGCUUGGUCUCACGGGUUGUUUAGCGGUUUGGUUAUGACCGGCCAAGUCUAGGGACGUGUCCCUUGGACUGAACCAACACAACCCUUCGUGUAUAAUCAGAAAGAAGAGAAAGGGCCGGAUAGAAACAAGAAGAGGAGAAGCGGUUAGGUCUAAUGGAACGACCAGAGCCGCGGUCUAAUCACAAGGACCGUCCGUUCGGUCUGAUGGAGCCAUAGCCCACCACGUAUGUUCUGAACCGUGUCAGGUUUCUCCAUGCUCUUCUCCUGCUCUCAGUCUCCCAUACUUUAUCAGAGGUUGCUUCACAAACGAUCAGAUCGCCCGAAACCUAACCACCACACAAUCGGCCUUGCUUUGGCCGGAAACUCUCUCUUUCUUUCUUUCUCUCUCUCUAUGAUUUUUCUGAGUAUUUUACUCUGGAAUUGGAUGAUUGAAAUCGACAGAGAGGACCCCAUAUUUAUAGAAAACGAGGGGGUAAGUCUUGCCCCACGAACAGGCAUGACUGGCCAGCGGAUGGGCACAAUCGGCCAAGGGUUACACCCUCUCGGCCGAAUGCGUCCCUUCGCCAAUGCCGCAUGGGAUUGGGUCGGACAGAGGCCCAAGGCCUUACCCAAUCCCUCUGGACUUAGUCCACGGCCUUAUCCCAAGCCCCAACGGUCCAUGGCCUCAUGGCCGGACCCCCAUGUCCUGCCACCAGCCCGGACCCGGACCAUCGGACCGAAACCCGAACAGUCCGUCCAGCUGAGAUUAGCUGACUCCCAGCGGUCUCAGCUGAGUGGGCUAGUAGUUCAGCUAGUGGAGCUGACUUAGUAGUGGCCGAGCUGGAGUGAGCUUAACCUAACUCCGUUGAGCUGGUCGAGCUACUUGUUCCAUCCGUCCAGCUACCGUCUUACUCGUCCUAGCUGACUCUCGACUUGUAUAAGGUUAAGUUUAAGUUUCAUUACGUCCUUAACGUUUCCUCGAACCAUGGCCGUCCCAAUGAUCCUAUUCAGGAUCCGGGAUGUUACAACGUCGGCGGGAAUUUUGGAAAGAGUUAUCUUUCCUGUUUAAGAGCCUGCCCACCCUGGAAACGGCUCAGCCGGAGGUAGGGUCCAGCGUCUGGAAGAGCACCGCACGUUGCGUGGUGUCCGGUGCAUUCCCAGCGGCCCCUGAAAAUCCGGAGGACCGAGUGCCGCUCACGCCUGUUUGUACUCAUAACCGCAUCAGGUCUCCAAGGUGAACAGCCUCUGGUCGAUGGAACAAUGUAGGCAAGGGAAGUCGGCAAAAUGGAUCCGUAACUUCGGAAAAAGGAUUGGCUCUGAGGGCUGGGCUCGGGGGUCCCAGUUCCGAACCCGUCGACUGUUGGCGGGCUGCUUGAGCUGCUAACUUGGUGAGAGCGGAACGCCUCGUGUCGGCCAGGGGGCGGACUGGGAACGGCUCUUUCGGGAUCUUUCCCCGGGCGACGAACAGCCAACUCAUAACUGGUACGGAUAAGGGGAAUCCGUCUGUUUUAUUAAAACAAAACUAUGACUCUCUUAAGGUAGCCAAAUGCCUCGUCAUCUAAUUAGUGAUGCACAUGAAUGGAUUAACGAGAUUCCCACUGUCCCUGUCUACUAUCCAGCGAAACCACAGCCAAGGGAACGAGCUUGGCAAAAUCAGCGGGGAAAGAAGACCGCUACUUUUAUCGUUAUUUUACUUACUCCGUGAAUCGGAGGCGGGGUAACAACCCCUCCUUUUAGACCCAAGACUCGCUUCGGCGGGUCGAUCUGGGCGGAGGACAUUGUCAGGUGGGGAGGCACAUCUGUUAAAAGAUAACGCAGGCGUCCUAAGAUGAGCUCAACGAGAACAGAAAUCUCGUGUGGAACAAAAGGGUAAAAGCUCGUUUGAUUUUGAUUUUCAGUACGAAUACGAACCGUGAAAGCGUGGCAGCUAAGCGUUCAUAGCGAGGUUGCUUUUUGAUCCUUCGAUGUCAGCUCUUCCUAUCAUUAUGAAGCAGAAUUCACCAAGUGUUGGAUUGUUCACCCACCAAUAGGGAACAUGAGCUGGGUUUAGACCGUCAUGAGACAGGUUAGUUUUACCAUACUGAUGCCCACGUCGCAAUAGUAAUUCAACCUAGUACGAGAGGAACCGUUGAUUCGCACAAUUCGUCAUCGCGUUUGGUUGAAAACCAGUGGCGCGAAGCUACCGUGCGCUGGAUUAUGACUGAACGCAUCUAAGUCAGAAUCUGGGCUAAAAGCGACGCAUGCACCCGCCGCCCGAUUGCCGACCCUCAGUAGGAGCUUCGGCUCCCAAAGGCACGUGUCGUUGGCUAAGUCCGUUCGGCGGAAGCGCUGUUCGGACCGCCUUGAAUUAUAAUUACCACCGAGCGGCGGGUAGAAUCCUUUGCAGAUGACUUAAAUAGGCGAUGGGGUAUUGUAAGUGGCAGAGUGGCAUUGCUGUCACGAUCCACUGAGAUUCAGCCCUUUGUCACUAAGAUUUAACCCUCCCCC